Small nuclear RNA from Gouania willdenowi (blunt-snouted clingfish), 135 nucleotides. Its record names the gene U2. It matches the Rfam family "U2 spliceosomal RNA". From Rfam's summary of the family: U2 is a small nuclear RNA (snRNA) component of the spliceosome (involved in pre-mRNA splicing). Complementary binding between U2 snRNA (in an area lying towards the 5' end but 3' to hairpin I) and the branchpoint sequence (BPS) of the intron results the bulging out of an unpaired adenosine, on the BPS, which initiates a nucleophilic attack at the intronic 5' splice site, thus starting the first of two transesterification reactions that mediate splicing. Lineage: Eukaryota; Metazoa; Chordata; Actinopteri; Blenniiformes; Gobiesocidae. The record is from Ensembl.
AUUGCUUCUCUGCCUUUUGGCUAAGAUCAAGUGUAGGAAAGGUCAAAUGUUGGAGAUUUUUUGUUUUUGUUGAUUGGGUAAAUUAAUGUCAUGUCAGUAUUUAUGCGUUGGGUCUACAACAGAAUGGCACCCUAU